UACGUAGGGUGCAAGCGUUAUCCGGAUUUAUUGGGCGUAAAGGGCUCGUAGGCGGUUCGUCGCGUCCGGUGUGAAAGUCCAUCGCUUAACGGUGGAUCCGCGCCGGGUACGGGCGGGCUUGAGUGGAGUAGAGGUAGGCGGAAUUCCCGGUGUAGCGGUGAAAUGCGUAGAGAUCGGGAGGAACACCAGUGGCGAAGGCGGCCUACUGGGCUCUAACUGACGCUGAGGCACGAAAGCGUGGGUAGCAAACAGG
RNAcentral lists this ribosomal RNA (253 nucleotides) under uncultured bacterium. Its description in RNAcentral is "partial 16S ribosomal RNA". It matches the Rfam family "Bacterial small subunit ribosomal RNA", at positions 524 to 776 of the family's 1533-position model. The record is from RNAcentral.